UCGAAUGGGAUGGAUUGUGUGGGCGAAAAAAAUUCACAAUAUUAUUCCAAACGCACGUUUGUAUGACGUCGAAAAUUCGCGGUGGUAUACACGUGUACCAGUGGUAUAACACGUCGAAUGACCAACAUUUUUUACGGGUUUUCCUCGGAUAUCUGUGACUCGGCUGCGGUUUGCUCACGUGUGCUGAUUAUAAUAACAAUGCUGUUUGUUAUUAAAUCGUUCGCUACACUAUCGUCGUUGUCGUCGUGCGAUAUCGUUAGUGUUUUAAACAACAAUAAAUACGCGUAAUAUUAUUGUGCGGACGACCGAAUGUUUUUGUAUUCAAUAUAACAACUAUACGCAGCUUGGUUGGGCAGUGAAACGGAAUUUCGAAUUAUUAAAGAAAAAUAAGGUGGUCUACUGUUAGUAUACGUUCCCCGAGCCUGAGGGGAAACUGUUCAUCAUCAUCGUUAUGUUAUCGCUCGACUGGUUCGCGAGGACUGAAACCAUCGAUUUUUGUCGAAUUCACUUUUUCUGGGGCAUCGUGAAUCGUCUCACACGACUUGACGAUGGCAAUAUUAUGAUGGUACAUGCGUCUAAUGCAAUACGAAUUUAUACGACUCGACCCGACGGAACGCAUCUAGACGAACUGUCUCGGUAGAAACGACGGUGCAUGAUGACAUGUCCUGCACAAUAGAAAAAAUAUAUAUAUUAAUUGCAGAUAUCGUAUUAUUGUUUCGACUCUAGUGCCGGUCCCUUGACCCUUUACCAUCAACC
This is a long non-coding RNA of Metopolophium dirhodum (rose-grain aphid), 756 nucleotides long. RefSeq lists it as uncharacterized. The record is from RefSeq and is a predicted model, not a curated record. The transcript has 3 exons. NCBI's taxonomy places the organism in Eukaryota, Metazoa, Arthropoda, Insecta, Hemiptera, Aphididae.